RNAcentral lists this ribosomal RNA (273 nucleotides) under uncultured bacterium. RNAcentral describes it as "partial 16S ribosomal RNA". It matches the Rfam family "Bacterial small subunit ribosomal RNA", at positions 524 to 796 of the family's 1533-position model. The record is from RNAcentral.
UACAGAGGGUGCGAGCGUUAAUCGGAAUUACUGGGCGUAAAGCGCGCGUAGGCGGUUUUGUAAGUCGGGUGUGAAAGCCCCGGGCUCAACCUGGGAACUGCAUUCGAGACUGCAUUACUGGAGUAUGGGAGAGGGCAGUGGAAUUUCCGGUGUAGCGGUGAAAUGCGUAGAUAUCGGAAGGAACAUCAGUGGCGAAAGCGACUGCCUGGCCCAAUACUGACGCUCAUGUGCGAAAGCGUGGGGAGCAAACAGGAUUAGAAACCCCCGUAGUCC